UUCCCUAGCGAAAAGAAACAGCUCCACACAACUAGGUCGUGGGAUUUCGUGGGGUUUCCCCGACAAGUUAAAAGAACAAGUUUUGAAAGCGACAUUAUCAUAGGAGUGCUUGACGGUGGAAUAUGGCCAGAGUCUGACAGCUUCGAUGAUAAAGGAUUUGGCCCACCGCCAAGGAAAUGGAAGGGCACUUGCCAAGGGUUUUCCAAUUUCACUUGCAACAAGUAAAUCUCACUCGCAACAGAGUGUCUAAAUACCCUGUUAAAAAAGUUUAAAUAUAUCCUAUCCUUGUUCCUUAACAAAACUUUCCACCGAUGUUAUUGCAGUAAAAUUAUUGGAGCCAAGUACUAUAAGAGCGAUAGAAAAUUUAGCCCAGAAGAUUUGCAAUCCCCAAGAGAUUCAGACGGCCACGGGACACACACUGCAUCCACUGCAGCUGGGGGCCUAGUCAACAUGGCAAGUCUCAUGGGCUUUGGCUUAGGAACUGCUCGGGGCGGAGUUCCAUCAGCUCGGAUAGCAGUGUAUAAGAUAUGUUGGUCUGAUGGCUGUGAUGAUGCUGAUAUUCUCGCAGCAUUUGAUGAUGCAAUUGCUGAUGGGGUUGAUAUAAUCUCUUAUUCACUUGGGAAUCCCCCUUCCCGGGAUUAUUUUAAAGAUACUGCUGCAAUCGGUGCUUUUCAUGCAAUGAAAAAUGGGAUACUAACAUCAACUUCUGCUGGUAACGAUGGACCUCGCCUUGUUUCCGUCGUAAAUGUCGCGCCAUGGUCUCUUUCCGUGGCUGCUAGCACCAUAGAUCGGAAGUUCUUGACCGAGGUGCAACUAGGUGACAAGAAGGUUUAUAAGGUGAGUAAACUUGCUCACACUUUGGACUAAUAACCAUCACAUUCAAAUAUCAUUUAUUAAAGAAAUUAGAUUUCAACUACGUGGAUCUGAUUUUUGGAGGUGGAGGUUAUAUCAUUGCCCUUUGUGUAGGGAUUUUCGAUAAACGCAUUUGAGCCCAAUGGCAUGUAUCCUUUGAUUUAUGGUGGGGAUGCCCCGAAUACUAGAGGAGGUUUUAGAGGGAACACAUCCAGGUACUUAUUAUUAAAGAAUGAAAAAUAAUUAAUUGAAAAUGAAAACCGUACGUUAGAAAUCCUGAAUUUUAAAGUGUGUGAUAGAUUACAGGACUUUCAUCACUGAAAUGCAGGUUUUGCGAAAUAAACUCAUUGAACCCAAAUUUAGUGAAGGGUAAAAUUGUCCUUUGCAUUGGGCUUGGCGCUGGGUUUAAAGAAGCAUGGAGUGCAUUCUUGGCAGGUGCCGUUGGGACUGUGAUAGUGGAUGGACUCCGACUCCCCAAAGAUUCCAGCAAUAUUUAUCCCUUGCCUGCAUCUCGCCUUAGUGCAGGAGAUGGUAAAAGAAUUGCCUACUACAUCAGCUCAACAAGGUAUCGAUUAACACAGCUUCCUACUUUUAUUUGGAGAUGACUGUAAAUUAUACAAGUGAUAUGCUUUAGAAUUUGUACGGCAUAUAUGUACUCAGUCUUAGUCUUACUACAUUUAAACAGUAACCCAACUGCAUCGAUUUUGAAGAGUAUUGAGGUUAAGGACACAUUGGCCCCAUAUGUACCCUCCUUCUCAUCAAGGGGUCCAAACAAUAUUACACACGACCUUCUCAAGGUAGCUUAUGCCAUUAUUCUUGAUUUUCUUCUCAUUUAUCCCAUGACAUGUUCAUCUCUAUAUCAUGUAAACCCAACUCAACAUUUUCACCUCCCAUUUGAGAAAACACAGGGGUUUUUUUCUUAAUCUAUGUUGAGAACGGUUACGCAUACCUCAGACCAAAUCACCCUUUUCCUUAGUUCAUAAAGACUUUCUAGAAGCUUGACAUUCAUGAUGACUUUGUGAUCUUACUGCAUGCAGCCAGAUUUAACAGCCCCAGGUGUACACAUUCUGGCUGCCUGGUCACCAAUUUCUCCAAUCUCUCAAAUGAGUGGUGAUAAUCGAGUAGCGCAAUACAAUAUAUUAAGCGGCACGUCAAUGGCUUGUCCACAUGCUACUGGGGCAGCUGCCUACAUCAAGUCAUUUCACCCCACCUGGUCUCCUGCUGCUAUUAAGUCUGCUCUUAUGACUACUGGUAAUGACUGAAUUUUAUUCCCGGCCUUUCAAAUUAUGAAAGAGGUGAUAGUAAUGGAUUUUAGUCCUUUGUGUGUUUUGUAAGCAGCUACUCCCAUGAGCGCUAGAAAAAAUCCGGAAGCCGAAUUUGCAUAUGGUGCAGGCAAUAUUGAUCCUGUAAGGGCUGUGCACCCUGGUUUAGUGUAUGAUGCCGAUGAGAUUGACUUUGUAAAUUUUUUGUGUGGAGAAGGCUAUAGUAUUCAGACUCUACGGAAAGUCACCGGGGAUCAUAGUGUCUGUUCGAAAGCUACGAAUGGAGCCGUUUGGGAUCUAAAUUACCCGUCCUUUGCUCUUUCCAUCCCCUACAAAGAAUCAAUCGCUCGCACGUUCAAAAGGAGUGUCACAAAUGUUGGAUUACCAGUAUCCACAUAUAAAGCAACUGUUAUUGGUGCCCCAAAGGGACUCAAAAUCAACGUUAAACCAAACAUUUUAUCAUUCACAUCCAUCGGGCAGAAACUAUCUUUUGUGUUGAAGGUUGAAGGACGUAUAGUUAAAGACAUGGUCUCUGCUUCGUUAGUGUGGGAUGACGGUUUACAUAAAGUGAGGUCCCCCAUUAUUGUGUAUGCAGUCCAAUAAAAUUCCAAAAGCCUGGUGUUUUGUACCAGAGGCAUCGGAAUUGUGGUAUCUAUCACGUUGAACUAAAUGAUGUGGUAUCUACAUAAGAUGGAAAUAAAUGAUAAUAUUUAGUAUUGGUUGUAUUACCUGUCCAUACGAGCUAUUAGAUCUAGCUCUAAUAGAUCUAAUACCCUUUACAUAUGAAGGUUCGGUCUCAAUACCCUUCUUUCUCCUCUCCCAGCCACUUUUCUCCUAGGCGGCCAGGCCCAUCCUUUCUUUUUGCUCUCCCUAGGCACUUUUCUCCGGGGCCCACCGCACCUUUAUGUGAUACUUUAAGGACGUAGCUUUAUCAUGGUUGAAAUUAUUGCCAAAACAUAUAUAUUUAAAUAGUAGUCAAAUAAAAAUUUCAUAAUUAAUCUAAUUUUAUUCAAAUAUACACUUAAAUAAUAGUCAAAUAAGAACUCCAUGGUUAUUUUCUUUUAAAAAAAAAUCUUUUAUGUAACAAGUUAUUGUUGAAAGUACAUGUAUCAAGUUUCAUGCCUUUUUUUGUUUCUCUUUAUUUUAUUAAUUCAUUAUUUUAAAAAUAUUUUUAUAUAUUUUAAAAUUUUUUCUACAAAUGUACUUACGUAGAAAAAUUGAAAUUAAUUAUAGUUAAAUAUAUUUGUACCAAUCUUCAAGAGGAGUGAAUUAAAUUAAUCUUUAAACAAAUCAACAUACCAUGAAAAUAACCAAAAAAUAUUUUAAAAGAACUUUUGGAAAUAAUUUUUUUUCUAAUUUGGAAAAAAAUUAUAAUUAAAUUUGAAUAAAAAUUAUUUCAUUAAAAAUGUUGUCAUGUGUGAUGUAUCGGACACUCAUGUACUAAGGGGUUUUGGCAUUUUUUUGGUUUCCUUGUCAUGAUUAUUUAUUAAUUUGUAAUUUAAAAAUUCUUUUUAUAAUUUUUUUUACUCUUAAAAGUUAAGAUAAAAGACUCAUACCUCAAUUUUGUUUAUGCACUCUGUAAACAAUACAUUUGUAUUGAUUUUAUGACAUAGGUAUAAAACAUUUUGUUGUGAAUAUGUUACAAAAUACAUAAAAAAGUGUAGUCCUAUAAAUUUAUUUUAAGAUGAUUUUACUUAAUUCUUCAAAAAUGGAAAGACCAUGGUAUUUUCUUUGUAUUCACAAUUAAAAAGAGUGCAUAGGACCCAUGUAAAAGGGAAUACAUUCUCUAUUUUAAAGGAAUGAGUUUCUUCUCCCACACCCAAGAGAAUUUGAUAAUGCGGAAUAAUUUUUACUUGUCAUCCAUGUACAAAACAUUUGUUUCGAUUUGUGAAAGACAUUUUGGGUAUAAGAAAACAAUGUACACCAAAUAAGGACCAUUGUUAUGUUUGCUCUAAUAUAAAAUUCCAAAAUCUUUGUGUUGGUGUGAUAUAAAAUUGCGAUAUCUAUAAAAUUGAAAAUAAAUGUUGUGAUAUAAGUAAGAUGGAAACAAAAGAGAAAAUUGUAAGCCUUUAAUAUUAAGGAAAUUUGGAAUUAAUUUUAAAAUAAAAUGUGUGUCAUUAAUUAUUUGACUAGUUUUUUGUAUAUGGCACGGAGGGGUUGUUUCUCAAUGUAAUACAUUAGUUAUUAAUAGGACAUGUGAAUAUUAGUUGUGGAUUAACACAGCUCCAGGUUGAUAGUGGUAUUAUAAAACUUUCAAAAAAUGACUCAUAAAUGUAGUUUUCCUCUAUUUUAUAUUUUUCUUAAUUUUUCUAAUAAAUAUAUAGACCACAUUACAAAUCAUGUAACAAUACAAUCUCCUACAUAGUUUAAUCAAUGUAAGUCAUAUGCUGAAAAAAAAAUCAAUACUCCUAGUAUAGGAAAUAAUGACUUAUUCAUAAAUAUGAAUCUUAUGCUAUAAUUAAAUCAAAAAUAGAAAUUAAAGAAUAAUAAAGAGACGAAAAAAACACAUGAAUAUAAGGUGAAAAAUCUUUAAGGAGACAAAGAACCAUGGACCAAUCUUAAUUAAUCACAAUAUCUACUAUAAAGGAAAUGUCUGGUUCAAGAUUUUACUUAAUAUACAGCUUCCAAUCCUCUCCAAGGCCAUUUGUUUAGUAUUUUAGGGAUCUUAGCUUUCCACCGUCUCCAUGUGGAACUUUUUUGGAACCCUUUCAAAUAUGAUUUUAGACUCUUUUUGAUAUCCACAGAAAAAUACAUUUAACCGAAACGAGAGUAUGGACAAAAAUAAUGGAAUUAAUGAGUAGUAAAUAAAUCUAUUAAAUAUAUACAAAAAAUGUAUAUAAAAUUAUUUCAUCAAGAUGUUUUCCAUUCUUGGAGAAUUAAGUAAAAUCAUCAAAUAGUGGGUGUUGUAAAAUUUCCUUUCAUCAAAUAGUGGCCUUUCAUUUUUCAGUUUAUAUUUUUAUUAUAUUUUUAAAAAUAAAUCAUUUGAAAUGUCGUGUAAGGAGUAACUCAAGCAUUUGAAAAUAAUGUAUAUUGGACUAUGUAGGUUGAUCAUCAAAUGUGUAUCAUAAGGUUUAAGCAGUUGCAUUUGUAUCUCAAUUGUUGAAAGUGUACAAUAAAGUUUAAAUCAUCAAAGAUGAUGAUGCAAGUAAUAUAAUUAAGUAUAGAUCAAUAAAAUUAAGGUAAAAAACAAUAAAAUCAAAGUGUAAAAUAAUGAGACAAAAUUCGGUAUAAAGAAAUGAAAUUAUAAUUCAAACGUGAUACAACUUGAUUAAUUGUGCUUUUUAAUACUUAUCAUCGAUUUAGUAUUAGAGAGGGGCCUACGAUGAUUAAAAGAGGAGGAUUGAAAGGCUCAGGUAUAUAUACAUGUCCAAAGCACCAGAAUGUGGUCCAUCUAAUGGCAAGAAAAAACUUUUUUCUCUGGUUUCUCCUUCUCAGUCUCAUUUGCACUUUGUUCUGUACCCACAGUACUACAGCAAUAUAGAUCCUGUGAAGGCUGUAGAUCCUGGUCUGGUAUAUGAUGUCGAUGAGAUUGACUAUGUAAAAUUUUUGUGUGGGCAAGGUUAUAGUACUCGGGCUCUAUGGCGUCACUGGGGGUAAUUGUGUCUGUUCUGCCGCUACAAAUGGAACCGUCUGGAAUCUAAAUUACCCUUCCUUUGCUCUUUCCAGCUUCACCAAGGAAUCUGUCACUGGAAUGCAUGGAACCAAAUUAAACCAAUAUUAUCUUUAUACUAGAAAAGCUGGAAUUGGGCUUUGUUGUAACUUCUGUUAUAUUUUUUAAAAUAUUUACGAAAGUACCAUUGCUUUCCUUUCAUAUAUAGGAUGGGAUAAUGGUAAUUAUCAAUUAAAUGCAGGUCGAAAGAUGUAGUAUGACAGCAACGUGUAUUGUUGCCAUUAUGCCACCUAUCAUGAUUUCAUAUAUAGGAAGGCAUCUUCCACAAUUUCAUUGAGCCUCUCUUUUUCCUUUACUUUGUUACUUUCAAAUUAGAACAAUUUACUUGAAUUCAGGCAAUAUGGAUAAAUCACCCGUGGGAGUGACCCAAAUUCUAAUUGCUACACCCGUCAACAUUGACGGAAAAAAUGGUGACGUAUUAUGGGAAUCGUAAUCAACUGUCGGUGGGCUGACGCAACCUUCCCACCCCCCUUUCCUCCAACACGUGAGUCACAUGCUUGAGACCUUCAAUGGCAAAACAAUUAUAUCAUGCACCUUUGGAUGAUAUAAAACAAUUAUAUAAAAGAAUUAUUUUAUAUCUAACACGUACCUUUGGAUGCUAAAGAAAUUUUAUGUCAGAUACAUGUUUUAGUGGUAUUCAAAGGCACAAAAAAGCACAAUUUAUGGGAAUAUAAAAUUUAUUUAAAUAAUUGGAGUGAGAAAAAAAAUGAAAAAUAUUUCUCUGCUAGAAAUUAGGAUUCAACAUUGUUAAAUAGGAUUUUCAGAUGGUAAUUUUACAAAAAAAAGUUGGUAAUAAUACCCUAAAAAUAAAUUGAAGGGCAUUAAUAAUGGGAUGAAAUUCUAAAGAUGAAGUCUAAUGUAAUGAUUGAUUAGGGGUCUCCAAAAAGCCCGCGGCCCGCGGCCCGCUUUAGGCCCGGCCCGGCCCGACGGGCUAAAGCCCGGCCCAAGCCCGCUAGGCCCAAGCCCGGCCCGAGCCCGUUUAUGGGCUGGUCGGGCCGCGGGCCUGGCCCGUAGGCCCGCCCUUAGGCCCGCCUUUAAUUUUUUUUUAAAAAAUAAUAUACUAUAUUUUUAUAUAUAUAUAACUAACUCAUUUUAUAAGUACAAAAGAAAUGUAGCUCAGUUGGUUAGAGCCUUGAAAUUUAAGCUUGAGGGGAGGGGUUCGAAUUCCCUCCUCUUCCUUCCUUUAUUUAAAAGCCAUUUUGGCUUAUUUAAAAAAGCCCGCGGCCCGGCUCGCUGGCCCGGCCCACCCAGCCCGCCCCCCAGCCCGCUAGCCCGCGGGCUCAUAGGCCGGGCCGCGGGCCUAGCAUUUUAGCUCGGCCCGGCCCGGCCCGGCCCGACCCGUUGACCAGUCAACAGGCCCAUAGGCCCGGCCCGAGCUGGGCCGCGGGCCUCUUAUUUACGGCCCGGCCCGCCCCGGCCCGCCCGUUGGAGACCCUUAUGAUUGAUGCUCCAACACACUCUCUCCCUCUGUAUAGUCUUUGAGCUUUAUUCAUAACUUUAACAAAAUUCUUUCUCAAAAGAAGUGACAAUAAUAAUAAAAAAGAUUGAAUUAUUGGAAGGGAUGUAAAGUAGAUGUUGAUGGGCAUAUCUUUUAAUGAAAAAAAGUCUUUGGUAUUAUGGGGGAUGACUGGUGAGUCUUUUGAUUUAUCCGUGCAUUGCUCUUUAUUCUUUUAUCUUUUUAAAUACAAAUUAUUGGAAAUGUCCUGGAAGGUGUAACAUUAGAUUAAAAGAGAAAAAGGAUUGGGAGGCUCAUGUGUAUAUAUGUAUAGAUGUCCAAGCACCACGAAGCGCAUAGCUUACCAUCAUCUAAUGGCAAAACAAAAAAACUCCUUUCUGUGGUUUCUCCUUCUCAGUCUCAUCUGCAGUCUGCUCAGCACCCACAGUACUGCAGCAGCUUCCGAGGAUGAUGUUCGAAAGGCAAGAAACACCCAUCUCUCUCUUGCUUUCUCUUAAUUAAUGGCUUGGUCAAUAUUCCAUGAACCAUACAUGCAUGCGUGGCGGAAAAAUUAAGAUUAAUCUUGCGCUGAAAAUCAUGCUUGGGUAGUGUUAAUAAACUGGAUUUGCAUCAAACAUGUUGUGGAUGCAGGAGUAUAUUGUGUACAUGGGUGCCAAGCCUGCCGGAGAUUUGUCGGCGUCUGCCAUUCACACCAACAUGCUGGAGCAAGUCUUUGGCAGGUCAGAAUUCACCUUUUGUUUUUUUGUUUUUGUUUUUUUAUUUAUUACAUAUAUGGUACCAUUUUCCCCAUGGAAUGCCUUUUCAGUGGUAGGGCAUCAAGUUCUCUAGUUCGCAGUUACAAAAGGAGUUUCAAUGGAUUUGUAGCGAAGCUAACAGAGGAGGAAAUGCAGCAAAUGAAAGGUGCGUAGGUGGGUUUAAAUCUUUCUUUAAUUGAAGUUUCUCAUGCGUGUAAUGGCUACAAAAUUAACUGUAACUUUGGAGUUUCAGGCAUGGACGGGGUGGUCUCGGUUUUCCCUAACGAAAAGAAACAGCUCCACACAACUAGGUCGUGGGAUUUCGUGGGGUUUCCCCGACAAGUUAAAAGAACAAGUUUUGAAAGCGACAUUAUCAUAGGAGUGCUUGACACUGGAAUAUGGCCAGAGUCUGACAGCUUCGAUGAUAAAGGAUUUGGCCCACCGCCAAGGAAAUGGAAGGGCACUUGCCACGGGUUUUCCAAUUUCACUUGCAACAAGUAAAUCUCACUCGCAACAGUGUCUAAAUACCCUGUUACAAAAGUUUAAAUACUAUCCUUAUUCCUUAACAAAACUUUCCACUGAUGUUAUUGCAGUAAAAUUAUUGGAGCCAAGUACUAUAAGAGCGAUGGAAAAUUUAGCCCAAAAGAUUUGCAUUCCCCAAGAGAUUCAGAAGGCCAUGGGACACACACUGCGUCAACUGCGGCAGGGGAUUUAGUCAGCAUGGCAAGUCUAAUGGGCUUUGGUUUAGGAACCGCACGGGGUGGGGUUCCAUCAGCUCGGAUAGCUGUGUAUAAGACGUGUUGGUCUGAUGGCUGUCAUGAUGCUGAUAUUCUUGCAGCAUUUGAUGAUGCAAUUGCUGAUGGGGUUGAUAUAAUAUCUAUUUCAGUUGGGGGUAAAACUCCCCAGAAAUAUUUUGAAGAUUCUGCUGCAAUCGGAGCUUUUCAUGCAAUGAAAAAUGGGAUACUAACAUCAACUUCUGCUGGUAACGAGGGACCUCUCCUUGUUUCCGUCACAAAUGUCUCGCCAUGGUCUCUUUCCGUGGCUGCUAGCACCACAUAUCGGAAGUUCUUGACCAAGGUGCAACUAGGUGACAGGAAGGUUUAUAAAGUAAGCUUGCUCACACUUUGGACUAAUAACCAUCACUUUCAAAUAUCAUUUAUUAAAGUAAUUGGAUUUCAACUACGUGGAGCUGAUUUUUGGAGGUGGAGGUUAUAUCAUUGCCUUUUGUGUAGGGAAUUUCGAUAAACACAUUUGAGCUCCAUGGCAUGUAUCCUUUGAUUUAUGGUGGGGAUGGCCCGAAUACUAGAGGAGGUUUUAGAGGGAACACAUCCAGGUACUUAUUAUUAUAGAAAGAAAAAUAAUUAAUUGAAAAUGAAAGCCGUAUGUUAGAAAUCCUGAAUUUUAAAGUGUGUGUGAUAGAUUACAGGACUUUCAUCACUGAAAUGCAGGUUUUGCCAAAUAAACUCACUGAACCCAAAUUUAGUGAAGGGUAAAAUUGUCCUUUGCAUUGGGCAUCGCGGUGGGUCUGAAGCAGCAUGGAGUGCAUUCUUGGCAGGUGCCGUUGGGACUGUGAUAGUGGAUGGACUCCAACUCCCCAGAGAUUUCAGCCGCAUUUAUCCCUUGCCUGCAUCUCGCCUUGGUGCAGGAGAUGGUAAAAGAAUUGCCUACUACAUCAGCUCAACAAGGUAUCAAUUUACACAGCUUCCUACUUUUAUUUGGAGAUGACUGUAAAUUAUUUAAGUGAUAUGCUUUAGGAUUUGUACGGCAUAUAUAUACUUAGUCUUACUACAUUUAAACAGUAACCCAACUGCAUCGAUAUUGAAGAGUAUUGAGGUUAGUGACACAUUGGCCCCAUAUGUACCCCCCUUCUCAUCAAGGGGUCCAAACCCAAUUACACACGACCUUCUCAAGGUAGCUUAUGCGAUUAUUCUUGAUUUUCUUCUCAUUUAUUCUAUUACAUUUUCAUUUCUAUAUCAUGUAAACCCAAUUCAACAUUUUCAUCACCCAUUUGAGAAAACAUAGGGUUUUUUUUCUUAAUCUAUGUUGAGAACGGUUACACAUAUCUCAGGCCAAAAGACCCCUUUUCCUUAGUUCAUAAAGACUUUCUAGAAGCUCGACAUUCAUGAUGACUUUGUGAUCUUACUGCAUGCAGCCAGAUUUAACAGCCCCAGGUGUACACAUUCUGGCUGCCUGGUCACCAAUUUCUCCCAUCUCUAAGGUACCUGGCGAUAAUCGAAUAGCGGAAUACAAUAUAGAAUCCGGCACGUCAAUGGCUUGCCCACAUGCUACUGGGGCAGCUGCCUACAUCAAGUCAUUUCACCCCACCUGGUCUCCUGCUGCUAUUAAGUCUGCUCUUAUGACUACUGGUAAUGACUGAAUUUUAUUCCUGGCCUUUCAAAUUAUGAAAGAGGUGAUAGUAAUGGAUCUUAGUCCUUUGUGUGUUUUGUAAGCAGCUACUCCCAUGAGUGCUAGAAAGAAUCCGGAAGCCGAAUUUGCAUAUGGUGCAGGCAAUAUUGAUCCUGUAAGGGCUGUGCACCCUGGUCUAGUGUAUGAUGCCGAUGAGAUUGACUUCGUAAAUUUUUUGUGCGGAGAAGGAUAUAGUGUUCAAAAUCUACGGCUAGUCACCGGGGAUCAUAGUGUCUGUUCUAAAGCUACGAAUGGAACCGUUUGGGAUCUAAAUUACCCGUCCUUUGCUCUUUCCAUCCCCUACAAAGAAUCAAUCGCUCGCACGUUCAAAAGGAGUGUCACAAAUGUUGGAUUACCAGUAUCCACAUAUAAAGCAACUGUUAUUGGUGCCCCUAAGGGACUCAAAGUCAACGUUCAACCAAACAUUUUAUCAUUCACAUCCAUCGGGCAGAAACUAUCUUUUGUGUUGAAGGUUAAAGGACGGAUAGUUAAAGACAUGGUCUCUGCUUCGUUAGUGUGGGAUGACGGUUUAUAUAAAGUGAGAUCCCCCAUUAUUGUGUAUGCAGUCCAAUAAAAUUCCAAAAGCCUGGUGUUUUGUACCAGUGGAAUUGUGGCAUCUAUCAUAUUGAACUAAAUGAUGUGGUAUCUAUAUAAGAUGGAAAUAAAUGAUAAUAUUCAGGAUCGGUUGUAUUACCUGUCCAUACGGGCUAUUGGAUCAAAUACCAAAUCGCAUGAGCCACUUGAACAGCCGGUAGACCCCCAGUUUUUUUUUUUUUUUUACCCUCCUAGCCACUUUUUUCUUGGGCCCACCUCGGUUGGUUUUUCAGUAUUUACUCUCCCCAGAGCCCAGCUUUUCUUUUUGCUCCCCCUAGGCACUUUUCUCGGGGGCCCACCGCACCUUAAUCCCUCUUGUUUGGUUCGUGUUUUGUUUUUUUUUUUGCCCUCACCAACCCAAAAUUGGAGUUUUAAGGACAUUGGUUGAAAUUAUUGCCAAAACAUACUUUUAAAUUAUAAUCAAAUAAAAAUUUCAUAAUUACUCUAAUUUUAUCCAAAUAUGCACUUAAAUAAUAAUAAUAAAAAAUAAGAGCUUCAUAAUAUAUAUAUAUAAAUCUUUAUUGUUGAAAGUACAUGUACAAGAUUUCAUUAUGAAUGACAACGGGGCUGAUUUGGAACAUGUCAUUCUAUGGACCCAUUUGCGCUUCCACUCGAUCUUUAUUUUAUUUGGUAAAAAUUUGAUUUUUAGAAAAAGACUUGGAGUCAUCAUUUAUUUUUAUUUUAUUUUUUUUUAAGGGAAAAACAAAAUAAGAAAGAAAACCUUAAGUGUGACUCCUGAAGGAAAAACAGAUCUAUGAAAAAAACCAGGUUUGGGUCUGGAGGUCAGGUUAUUUAUUGGGAAGGUACGGUGGUAAGUCCUAGCACCCCUUUAAGCCCUUAUACAUACGACGUCUACUAAACGAAUUAAGGGAAUUGUGACAAUUAAUUAAUUAAUGGUGGAUACCAAGAAAAAUAAUCAAUGUACAAGUCAUAAUGGAAAUCAAUAUACACAAAAACAAUGAUGAAAUCUAAUUACAAAAAUAUACAAAAUGAAUAAUAAGAGAAUUAUGUAAAAUGAUUUAUUUAAUUAAAUAAAUAAAAGAUAUUAAAAAAAGUUUUAAAGAAAUUUCAAGGGAUUUUAUUAAAAAUGAUUUUGAAUUAAUGAUUUCAAUUUAUUUACUUACAAAAAAAAAUCAAUUUUUUUCUCAAUUUCAAUUGUAUUCAAUUUCCAAAAAAAAACUAUUUACACAAAAAUUAAUUUUUGGAACAACUUUAUUUACAAAACAAUUUUUGGACAACUUUUAUUAAACAAAGAAAUUUUUGAACAAUGUCAUUAAAAACAAUUUUUUUGGAUUUUUCUAAAAGCAUUUUUCUAAAUUUUUAUAAAUAAUAAAAAAACUUUCUUUUAUUAAAAAGAAUAUUUUAAAAUUAGUAUUUUAUUAUAACAUAUUUACUGAAUUAUUCCUCUCAUUUAAACAAAAUUUCUAAUUUGUUCGAUGUUCAAUUCUGUACACACUCAAUAAAUAUAUACGAAUAAAUAUUUAUAAUAACUAAUUAAAAUAAAACCAAAUAAAAGUGGGAAAUAAAAUAUGUACCCAAAUAAACUUACAACAAGCUCCACGUGUCAUCAAUUCGUACUCAACCAAUAAGAUUGUAGAAUGGGUCCAUGCAAAAACAAAAAUAGUACAAAUGUAAAUAUCCAGGUAUGUAUAAAAUCCCAAACAAAUAUUCAAACCCAAAUUCUAAUUUCAAGUUAGUCCCAUAAAUUUCGUCAAUUAAAAUGAGCCCAAAUUACUAUAGGUAUUAACCCAGAACAUCCAAAUUAAUAACCAAAGAUACAAACACAAUCAACCAAACCUAAAAUUGGAUAAAUUAAAAUAAAUUCUACUAGACCUAAAUUUAAUAUUUCAUAAUCUAAGCCUAGUUUAAUAUACACCACAAUUGUCCCAUGUCCAAAUUAAACAAUUCAAAUUGACCAAACCCAUAUCAAAUAUUCAAAUAAUCCAACAAAUCUCACCCACAUUAUGGACCCCAAAAUUCACAUCAAUUAACAUGCCCACAAAAAAAAAAAACAUGGUCAAGAGAAAUAAUAUUUCAACCCCAAUCCAAUAAGCCCAAACAAAUAACUACUUAACAGUAGGUCCAAGUCCAAAUAAACAAUAUGCAAUUGAUAUAAUCCAAAUAAUAAUAAUAAUAAUAAAAAAAUUAAAAAGAAAAAAAAGAUAAUAAGAAAAUGGGGGAGGAACGGCACUAGGAAUGGCGUCGGCUUGGAGUUGAGUGGUAGUGUGUGGGAAGUUGGGGAGGAAAAGUGGAGAAAAAAAAAGGAAAAGGAAAAAAUAAAAAUAAAAAUGGGCGUCGACGUUUUUGGAGAAAAAAUGGAGAAAAUGGGGGGAUGAAAAUAAAAAUAAGUGAAUCGGGGGCGCUUGCUGAGAAUGGGAGUGGAGUUGCAGAGAAGGGGAAAAGAGAGAAAAAAUUGGGGGGCCGGCCGUUUUUCCCGAGAUGGGGGAGAGAGGAAAGAGGAGAGUGCAGGGGAAAAAUGGGGGAUGGUGGCCGAUGGUGUAGACCCUCAAUUUUGUCCCUUUAGCACAUGUCUUUAAAUUCACUUCCAGUGCUCCACGGCAGUUCCUUGGUGGCCCAUGGCUACUCAUACCACUUACCUUUUUCUGAGUCACCUCGGAGAUUUUGGUUGAGGGAUUAUUUGAUCCUUUAUUGUGACCCUUGGCAACCCUAAUUUAGACUUAGGCUUUUGUUAUUCUUUUUAGGAUAACUUUUUUUUUAGACACACUUGACCCAUUAGGCACCACCCUAGGCCCACUUAGAUUCACCUAGGCUCAUUUAGGCACAUCUAGGUCCAUUUAGGCACCCUAGGCCCACCUAGAUUCACCUUGACUCGCACUGAGGCACCUUACAGUUUACACACACUCACUUUAGGUCCACGUAGGCAUCCUAGCCCACCUAUGUUACCUUUUAGGUAAUUCCUACGUGACUUGUAUAAUUUGCAUGAUCUGCAUUUUUAACGUUGGCAUGUACUUGAUGUCUUAUUUCUAUUUAUUUUAUUUAUUCAUUUACUUAUUUAUUUAUAAUUAUUUGGUUAGUUAUUUGCUUUUAUUUAUUUAUUUUAUAGAAUAUUGCAUGAAAUUGAUGAUUAAUUUUGUAAACUAAUGUCUUAAUUAUUUUUUGUAUACCUAUGAUAGACAUAAUGUUUUUAAUUGCAUAAUUUUAGUUGGUUUUAAUUUUCAAUUUCAUGACUUUUACUGAUUUUAAUUCGUAUUUUAUUUUGGCAUGGGAUUUGAACGCACACAUUGGAGAGGAUCCAUAGGCACGGCUACAAUCUUCCAUGGGCUGCAGUUUUGGAGAUCACAUAGUUGCAUAUCUGGAAGACGGAACAGACUUCCGUGGCAAGAUGCACAGGAAGGAAAGGUGAUGUCCAGAGAAUGAGGAGAAGAAUGCAUAAUCACACUUCCAACAAUGUAUUACUGUCAUAUGGUGUAUUCCUCGAACCCAAAACCCUCUCUCAAUUCCAAACGCGUUCGAGAUUCAUUGUUUCUGCAAGUCUCGGUGCAUUUCGUUUUAUUAAAGGUCAUCCUUCCGCACAAUUGCACCCUGAGAUUGACCGACAGUGGAGUGCACGUUUUGGAGCCCUUGGAAUCAGAAGAUAGAUGGGAUCCUUGCCACUUAAAGAUGGCGCACUUCGGAUUGGACCCCAAGCCCACUCUCACAUGGCUUGCAUGGCCACCCCUUUUGUACAUUAUUUUAAAGCCAGCAUGUCUCAGCCCUUAAUUCCUCUUGCAUGUUUUCCAAAAUGGAUUUUCAAAGAUCCAUUCUUUUUUUAAUUUUCUGGAGAAAUGUUGGACAGUUGCAGUGAGGAUUAUCUCCCAGAUUUUUACCAUGUUAGUGAAAGAUCCCACGCACAGCCCACAAUGGAAGAUUCCACGCACAGCCCGCAAUGAAAGAUCUCCAACAGCACGCAUCCAAGGAAGGAAGCCUAUAUAGGAGAUAUGGAACCAUGAUCAGUCCACAGCAACCAUGAUUCUUAAGGAAAUCAGCCACAAUUGAGGGGCCCACAAGACAUCCAGAUUUUGAUUCCCACAGGCCGCACCAUCCCGAGGGGAUCUCCUCCACGCACCACUCAAUUUUUUUGGAAGGCAUGGCUGCAUCUUGAGCAUGCAUCACGUGGAAAAUAGCAUGAAAAUAGGAAAGAAGAUGGCCACUUUGUGCACAGCACGCAUAUGGUGGGCUGUAAAGGGAGAUUCCUUUUGGUUUUUUUUUGGAAAGAAAAGUCCACUCAUCUAAUCACUUACCAAACAGGGUACAGGGCAGCAUCUUUGAAAAAGUCUCCAAUAUGAACCACACGUAAGCACUUUCCAUAUGUCUAAAUGCACUGAAAAAAAGAAACAAAAUAUUCCAUACAAUGUGCGGCUACCAUAUAAGAAAGGAACGAGCAGAGAGGAGGGGAUCCACACCGAGAGAUAUUAUUUUCUGAGGGAACGAAGAGAGGCCUGAAAGGAAGGAGGAGGCAGUCACCACGCAUUCUCCAUUGAUCAUCAACCCGCGCCACCAGUAACAGCAGGAUAACACCUUGGUUUGCGUAUUGAAGGUUCGGUUUAUGAUUAUUUUUUUUAUUUUAUUGAAAAUUGAUAAUUUCAUGUGUAUUUUAGUUUAUGACUUAUUUUUUUCAUUCUAUGAUUCCAAGUUUCGAUAUUCAUUUACUUGUGUGACGAUAUGAUAGAAUUGAGAAUUCUUGAUUGAUUAAUUUUGAUUCCAAGUUUUGAUUUUCAUUGAGAACUUUGACUAAAUAUAUUAAUUAUUAUAUUCGAUUCGAAGUUUCUUUUUUUAGUUGAUUGAGUUAAAUUUAAGGAUUUGUUUAAUUGUAUGGAUUAUCAUUGUCUUGAUUCCAAGUUUUGAUUUUUCUAGGUUGUUAUGUUUUUAGAAUUUUAGUUUAUUAUUCCUAUUGAACCCAUGUGAUUAACUCCAUGUUUAAAAUUGUUAACUUUAGUCUUUGAUUGACCCUAUUUAGUCUAUGUGUUUUAGAUUUUUAGUUGAUUACUUUCUCAUGUCGUUAUAUCCACAUUUUGAGCUUGUUCGUUUUAAUCCUCGAUUGAUCCAAUUUUAUUUUGUGUGUUUUUUAGAGUUUUAGAUAUUUAAUUUAAAAGUUACUUUUCUCAUGUUGUAAGCUUGUUAAUUUUAAUUCUUGAUUGACCUAAUUUUAGUACGUGUGUUUUUAGAGUUUUAGGUAACUAGUUUAAUCGAUGCUCAUAUUUUAAAAAGUUUGUUAAUUUUGGUUUUUGACUGAUCUUGUCCUAGUUUAUAGUUUUUUUAAAAAUUUUAGUUAAUUAGUUUAAUCGAUGCUCAUGUUUUAAAAAGUUUGUUAAUUUUGGUUUUGACUGAUCUUGUCCUAGUUUAUAGUUUUUCAAAAUUUUAGUUAAUUAGUUUUAUCCCAUGUUAUUAUACUCAUGUAUUAAAAAUAGUUAAAUUUAGCUUUUCUACUUAGUUGAUGUGUCCUUUUUUUAAAUUUUUGGUUAUCAUUUUGCUUAAUCCCUUGUUACUUAGUUUUGUUUUUGUUUUGGAAGUUACUAAUGUCUAGUUGUUGAUUGAUAUUACCCUAGUUUAUGUGCUUCUAGAAUUCUGAUGGUUAGUUUUUUUUAUUUAUAUCUUGUUAAUUUGUUUGAUCUAGAACCCAUUAGUUAGUUGCUUUGAUGAAAUCCCUACAAAAAAAACUUAUUUUUCAAAAACCCUUUAUUGAUAGCUUGUUCGAUUAUUUGACUUAUAAUUUUUCUAAAAAUUUUCCAGUUGUUCCAUGGUAGUUUAGACUUCUUGAACUUGAAUUUAAGACUUUGUUUGAGUUAAAAAUCACUUUUAAAAUGGAAGAUAUGAAUGAGUCUUUUGGGUGGUUCUGUUUUCACCCAGUUUUGGACACUCCAAAUUUUUUUUUUUUUUUUUAAACAUAAAUUACUAGAUGACUCUUGAAAAGUUAAUUUUUGUUUGCUUAAGUUUUGAUUCAUCACUUUGGUUUAAAAGGUGAGAAUUUUUGUUUUAUUUUAAUUUUGAUUCAUUAUAUUACAUUGAAAAAUUAGAAUCUUUGUGUAGUUUGGAUUUGAUUCCUUGCUUAGUUCGAAAAGUUAGAAUUUUGCUUAGAUCGGUUUUAAUAGAUUUAAUUUUAAAAGUCAGUUUUUUUUUUAUGAGUCAGCUUUUUAUUUAGUUCAAGUGUUUUAUAAUUUUUAUUUGAUCUAAAGUCGUUUGGUUUGUUGCUUUGGUGAAUAUUUAUUAAAUUUGAUUUUUAGAGGCCGUUGGAAAAUCAUGAAGAUUGGCCUCUACCAUCACCAUUAUCAUUUUUGUCAAUUACUAAAAAAAAUUUUACUUUGAGGUUUCAUUUUUGUUUUGUUUAUUAUUUUAUUUCUUAUAUUUUAUUUUUUUCCAAAUUAAUUCCUUUUAUUUUAAAAUAAAAUACUUUUCUCAACAAAUCAUUUUAAAAACCUAUUUCAAAAACUCAUUAGAGUCCUCAGGAUCAAAAUUUCCUUUUUUUAUUAUUUAAAAAUAAUAUGCAACCAUAUCUUGUUCGGUUUGCAUCCUUCUCGGUUUUCAACAAAAAUUUUGGUUUUGAACAAAGACACGAAUCAAAGCUUGUGGUCCCACAUAAAUGGGAUAAUUCUGAGCUAAAUUCGUGUAUAUCAAUUGGUGAAACCCCUACAUAAGAAAAUCUUUUCAAAAAUUAUUUUUGUUGUCAUUUUCGUCACUUGUUGAAAUUAUGUCUAUCUUUUUUAGGAAUUGUAUACAAGAUGUGUGUGAUAAUUAAUGUUUUCAUAUACUUUGAUAAUUUUUGUUAUGCUAAUUAGAUAACAAGCAUGCUAGGGUUUCUUUAUUUUAUUAUUAUCUAAUCCCUCAUGUCUUAUGGAAGCGCAUCGUAAGUUAUCUAUGCUAUCCAGGUACGCCCCCUAUCACCUACUUUCCAAAUUUUGUAAACAAUCAUGUCACUGUGAAGUAUGCAUAUGUUUGAUAAUCCUUAGGUGUUUAGAUGUAUGCUUGAUUCACUAUGAUUAAAUACAUGUUGUGUGUUAUACUUCUAUACUAUCUCUCAUGUUUUAUGAUAGCGCUUGGGAAGCCGUCCAGGUACGCAUCCUUAACUUUCCUUCAUUGUUAUUUGAUCUUGUCAGGCAUGCAAUAUUCGAAAUCAUCUAGUCUACUUAGGUAUCCAUAAUUAACUGAUUAAUGGUCGCACUUCCCUUAACUUUGUCAGUAGAGACCUUUAUAGGGCUUAGAGGGGUGCUACCUUUCAAAGGUACCUUCCCAAUAGGUAACCUGAUCCCCGGACUUAGACUCGGGUUUUUCAAAGACAUGCUUUUUUCCAAAAAUUAUGGAGUCACAUUUUAGGGUUUUUCUUUCUUGUUUUAUUUUCCCUUUAAAAUAAAAAUAAAAUAAGUGGCCACUCCAACUUUUUUUCAAAAAUCAAUUUCUCACAAAUAAAAAGCGAGUCUCGCCGAUCGAGUGGGGGCGCACGUGAAAAAUGCAGGUCCACAGAUGGUGAGGAGAGAGAAGAAGUGGGUGGGUGACCGUAGGUGGAGGAGAAAGGAAGAGAGAGGAGAGAGGAGAGAGAAAAUAAAAAUAAAUAAAAUAGAAUAUAAUAAUAAUAAUAAAAUAAAGUAACAGUAAUAAAAUAAUAUACAAAAUAAUAAAAGCUAUUAAAUGGUGAGUGAGCCAAAAAACACAUGUAAUUGGAAUUUAAAAUUUAUUGACAAAAUUGGGCACAAAAUUAAUGUAAAAAUAAAAUUGUGACAAAUUUUGGGGUCUACGUACACAUUCAUAUCCGAUUCCCAUCCGUAAUUACACAGUUAUUUCCCAUCCUUGGUAACCCGAGUUUGGGCAGAUUGAUUGGUUUCCAUCCCCGUUAACAAAAUGACUAAUAACAUCAUCCCCACCUCAAACCGUCUCAGAUGUCCAUUGAACCCUAACCCUAGCUGAUCAUACCUAAAUGCACUUUCCUUUCAUUGCAAAAUAACGAGAUUAUGAUAAUAUAUCAAUUAUGAAAAGAUAAUAGCAAAGUUCAAAUUAACACCACAACAAUCUAUAAUCUUAAGCCCAUAAUUAGUUUAUAUGAUUGAAAAUUAAUGCAAAACGAAAAAAAAUAAAAAUAAAUUAUCUAAACAAUUCACAAGAGAAUAUAAUGAACAAUGAACCAAACGGGAACAUGGGUCAACAUUAGUCAUGGAUUUGAAUCCCUCUUUAGGCCGAUCUUUGAACCAAGACUUCAUCAAAUUCACUACUUCAAAGGCUUUUGUUGUUCCUCUUGAGUUGUGGUCUCAAACAAAGACUUAAAGUUGAUGUUCUGGAUGUUUGUGUUAUACAUAUUUAGGGCAAGGAGAUUGGUGCCUAUGACUAGUUUGAUGUUGCAAUAGAGGAGUUGUAGGCACUAAGGCUAAACUAAGAACCAGAGGGAAUUGAUUUCAGAGUAUUUCAGUUGGUGUGAGGGAGGAAGAAGAAGUGGUAUUGAUUUUGGAGAUAGGGUUUUAGGCAGUGCAUCAAAGGAAGAAGAAGAAGAAGAAACGAUUGUUGAAAUUAGGACAAAUGGGAAGAAUGAAGUAUAUAUAUAUAUAUAUAUAUUGGGAGGUUUUUGACAUUUUACUAGUAGUUAAAGAAUAAUUUUGUAAAUUUAUAUUCAAGGUAGAGCGGGACGGGUUGAAACAAAAUCCAUACCCAUCCCAAACCCGAUUCAAGUUUUUAAAAUAUCCCCAAACCUGACCUAUACCCGUUUUUUAUAUUUCAUACCCAUCCCAAUAGGGGCGAAGCAGGGCGGAUUACCUAGGUAGCCCACAAAAUUGUCAUCCCUAGAUUUCAUGCCUUUUUUAUCUCUUUAUUUUAUUAAUUUAUAAUUUUAAAAAUAUUCAAAUACUUUUUAGUUUUUAAUUCUACAAAUAUACUUAUUUAGAAAAUUUGAAAUUAACUAUAGUUAAAUAUAUUUAUACUAAUCUUCAAGAGGAGUGAGUAAAAUUAAUUUUAUUAAACAAACCAAGAUCACUUAAAUAUGCACAAAUCAUACCAUGAAAAUAACCUAAAAAUAUUUUAAAAGAACUUUUGAAAAUAUUUUUUUUUUUUAUAAUUUCAAAACAAAUUUAUAAUUAAAUUUGAAUAAAAAUUAUUUUAUUAAAAAUGUUAUCUUGCAUUUUUUGGUUCCCUUGUCAUGAUUAUUUAUUAAUUUCUAAUUUAAAAUUCUUUUUAUAUUUUUGUUUUACUCUUAAAAGACAAGAUAAAAGACUAAUAACUCAAUUUUGUUUCAUCCAAAUUUGAAAAAAAAAAAUUUAAAUAUAUAUAUAAAGAUUAACUGUUAAAAUUAAAUGCUUAUAAUAUGUCAAUCACUAAGAUAAUAAAAAAAAUAAACAAACCUUGCUAUGCACUCUAUCCACCAUACAUUUGUAUUGAUUUUAUGAGUCAUGUAUACAACAAUUUCUUGUGAAUAUGUACAAAGCAUUGUCCUAUAAAUUUGUUUUAGGAUGAUUAAUUUCACUUAAUUCUCAAGAAAUGGAAAGACCAUUCUUAGUAAAAAGGAGUACAUUCUCUAUUUUAAAGGAAUGAGUUUCUUCUCCCACAUCCAUCAGAAAUUGACAAUGUGGAAUCAUUUUUACUUGUCAUCCAUGUACAAAACAUUGGCAUAGAUUAUGAAAGACAUUUUGGAUAUGAAAAAACAAUGUACAUCAAAUAAGGACCCCAUUGUUAUGUUUGCCCUCAUAUAAAAUUCAAAAAUCUUUAUGUUGGUAUCAAAGUAUUGGAGUUGUAAUAUCUAUAAAAUUUAAAAUAAAUGGUGUAACAUCAAUAAGAUGGAAACAAAAGAGAAAAUUGUAAGCUUAUAAUAUUAAGGAAAUUUGGAAUUAAUUUUAAAAUAAAAUGAGUGUCAUUAAUUAUUUGAUUAGUUUUUUGUACAUGAUAUGGAGGGUUGUUUCUCAGCAUGACACAUUGCUUAUUGACAGGAUAUGUGAAUAUUAGUUGUGGAUUAGUACCUGAGCCAGCUCGAGGUCGAUAGUGGUGUUAUAAAAUUUUCAAAAAAUGACUCAUAUAUGUAGCCUUCCUCUAUUCUAUUUUUUUCUCAAUUUUUCUAAUAAAUAUAUAGAUCACAUUACAAAUCAUGUAUAAUACAAUCUCCUACAUAGUUUAAUCAAUGUAAGUUAUAAGCUGAUAAAAAAUCAAUACUCCUAGUAUAGGAAAUAAUGAGUUAUUCAUAAAUACAAAUCUUAUUCUAUAACUAAAUAAAAAAUAAAAAUUAAAGAACAAUAAAGAGACAAAAAACAUGCAAAUAUAAGGUGGAAAAUACUUAAGGAGAUAAAAACCAUGGACCAAUCUUAAUCACAAUAUCUACUAUAAAGGAGAUGUCCAGUUCAAUAUUUUACUUAAUAUAAGGCUUCACUCCUCUCCAAGGCCAUUUAUUUAGUAUCUUAGGGAUCUUAGCUUUCCACCAUCUCCAUGUUAAACUUUUUUGAAACCCCUUCAAACAUGAUUUUAUACUCUUUUUGAUAUCCACAAACAAGACAUUUGACCGAAAUGAGAGUAUAAACAAAAACAACAUUGAAUCAAUUCAUUUUAAGUGAAAUUUUCUCACUUUUGAUUUAAAACUAAUGAUGACAAUGGAAUGAGUUUUUUUAAUACUCAGCAUGCUUCAACCUUUAAUGAGACGAGUUUAAAAUUAAAAUAAAUAAAUUAAGAGUGGAUUUGAGAUUAUUAUUUUUUUUUUUAAUUCGAGGCAAGUUUGGGUAUUGUCUUCUCCAAUAGUUUAAUUUAAAAUUUUAUUUUUCACAUUUUAAUAUAUAAAAUAAAAAAGUUACUUUUCAAAAAAAUUAUAAUAUUUAUUUAUUUUUAAUGUAAUAAUUUAAAAAAAAAUUAAAAAAAAAAUAUUUUAACAAAUAAAAAUUUAUCAAGACAAGUAUAAGAAAUUCUUAUAUCUAUGUCUCUUCAUUUAAAUUUUUUUAUUGGGAUGAGAAUAAAAGUUAAUUGAUUUAUGUAAAUAGAACGAGGCUCGAAUAAAGGCAACCUUUCUUGAACUUACUCAUUGUCAUCAGGGAUGGCAACGGGACGGGUUCGGGACGGGUCGCCCCCAACCCCGCCCCGUUUAUUUAAAAUAAUUCCCAUCCCCGUCCCAUUUAAAAAUUUAAACGGGGCGGGGCGGGGCGGGCGGGGCGGGUAUGAUAAAUUCCCAUACCCGCCCCGCUUAACUUUCCUCUUUGAUUUUCUAAAUACAUACAUAAACUCACUCUCCAUUAUUUGAAAUUGAAUCAGGCCUUUGGGCAUUUCGGCAUUGCUUUUCGAAAUGGAGAAAGAAUCUUCCGACGAUGAGGAGGAUCGACAAAACCUAAUCGACAAACAUAAGCGGAAGCUCCCUCAUCAAUCCGGCUUCCAGAUCGAGGAUUUCAAGUCUAGAAUUUCUGCUCAUCGUUUCUCCUUCAAUAAGAGGUACCUCUUCGCCAUCUUCCCCCCUCUCUUUUCCUCUGAGUUUCAUGGUCGCUGGGUGUAGGAAGUAGGGCAAAGUGUAGAUUUUUCUCAAGUUGUUGUUGUGGGUUUUCGGAAAACUGGUUUUCGCAUUCCGGGCCUUUGUGGUGUGAGGGAAAUUUUGGGUGUGAUUGUCAGAUGCGUUUCCAAAACCCAUCAAUCAUACCUCGAAUCUAAGCUAGCCCUAAUUAAAUUUAUGUGUGACAAUAUGCAAAAUUUAGCACAUUCAACCACAAAACUAGAAAAUACCAUUGUCAAAAACAUCAUCCUCAUUUAUUUCACCACAGAUGUUCGAAACUUAUUUACCACCAGUAUUUCCAUCGUUAAAGCCGAUUCUCCCACUGAUCGUAUGAGGGAAUCCGAAUUGUGAGCUUUGUAUUUGUUGAGGCAGCAACAGUUGAGUCUCUUCUCUCUUUGGAACCAUACUGCAUUUGUUGAUUCUGCGCCUAUUCCUUCUGAUCUUCUCUCCUCUGUUGAUUUUAAAUCUGCUUUGCUGAAGCAGUUGAGGACCACCCCGAACCCGAUUAUGAGGGUAUGAAUGGAUAUGGGAGAUGGGGGAUGUGUAGAAUAUAUAUUAUAUGUUAUAAACGAAACGGGGCAGGGCGGGGCGGGGCAAGUGGGGUGAGGCAAUACCCGAACCCGCCCCGAACCCGUCCCGGGUUUUAAAAAUUUUUUCCAAACCCGUUCCAAACCCGGUUAUUAAAAUUGAUCCCCGUCCCAUUAGGGGCGGGGCGGGGCGGGUACUCGAAAAAACCCGCCCCAUUGCCAUCCCUAAUUGUCAUCCCUAUUCAAAACUACAAACUUUCCCUAAAAACAAACAUACCCCUAAAUUUGGCAAAGCAUUUGAAGAUCCUCCAAAAUUAGUAAAGAUUUAUAGAUCAAGGUAUAUAUAUAUAUAUAUACAUCCACCAUCUUAAAUCAAUUAUCAAUUCUUUAUCCAUCCUUAAUCAUGACGACUUUUGAAAUGAUAAAGAGGGGAGAAUUUGAAACAUUUAAGCUGAGGGUAUACAAUAAAAUUUUUUAUGUGAAAUUGCUAACACAUAAAGAAGCUCAAAAGAUCAAUUUUUAACCAUCUUUUCAUGACCGAACGACAAAGCUGGUACUGAUAGGAGACAUAUAGUUGUGAUUAGAAGCAUGAGAAAGACUGAUGAGUUAUUCAUAAAUAAUCUUGAAAGUUUAGACUAUUUAAAAACCGGAUCACUGGAAUGUAACAUCUUAGAUGAAUAAAUCCUAUGCUAGAAAUAUAUAUAUAUAUAUAAUUCUGAAAUAGAUAGAAUUAGCGUCAAUGUAGAAGUGAAAAAUUUUAUAAAUUGCACAAAAUUUACAUGAUUGAAAAUUUUUGAGACUUUUGAUAGUUCUUCCAUUAAUAUGGUUCUUUUUCAAGAAAUUGUGAUAUGUUAGAUUUUUUUUAAUUAAUUUUUUUAUGAUGGAGAUAUAAGAAAGAGUUAGCAUUAAUUUAUAACAUAGAAAUUAAGGAGAAAAUAGUAAUGCAGCAUUGAACUUUAGGAUUUUGUGAAUAAGCAUGAAUCAAUUUUAGUCUCAGCGUAAAAGUGCAUAUUCAUGUAAGUCGCAACUCAGUAUAAUGUGACAAGUGUUACCUAGUUAUUGCAUGUCAUUAUGAUAAUAUACUUCCAGGACUUCAUCAAUAUAUUACAACCCAACUAGGAUUGAAUUUGUUGUAUUUCUCGUAAAAUAGCCUAUUCACGUACGGUGCAUGCAAGUGAAAGCAAUUGGGCAACAUGGUAUCUUCUCUUUCACGAUGGCUUCUCUUUAUUGUUAAUCCCAAAAAAUAAAAAUAAAAUACAAGAUUUUUAAUAUAAUUUAAUGAUUAAUGUAAUAUCAUGUCUAUAGACUACAUUAACAUUCAACAAUCUAUUAAUCAAAAUAAAAGAUAAGAGUUAUAAUAAUAAAAUUUUCGAAAAAAUCUCUCAAUUAUUGUUACACUCUCUAAAAACAAAACCUUAAACAUAAAAUGUUAAAACUCAAUUGGUUGAAUUGGUUAAGCAAUAAUAAACCUACCUGCUAAUAAUUAGUUAACUGAUUAAAUCUUACACUAAAAACUUGCAUUUUAUCUUAAUAUACCAUUUAACCCUAAUUUCCUUAUAUUUCAUUAUAUCAAAAUUACAAAUUAGGAGGUUUAUUCUUAUCAAAUAUUUUCUUGUAUACCUUGUGAAGUGGGUUUAAUUGUGGGGUAUCAUUUGAGGGAAAAAAAAAAAUCUAAGUAGGUAUCACUUAGGAUUUACCAAAUGUGUAGUAUCACUUAUGGUUUGUCAAGUCUGGGGUAUUAGGGAGUUCAAGAGAGAGACAUCUCUUAAGGAAAAUUAUUAGUGCGCAUUAGAUCCAGUUAAUACAAAUGUAAAACUUGAAGGUUUGUGUUGGAAGCUUUGUUAAUAGAACUCUCAUUUGAUUGAAGCUUGAGGAAAGUGAAUCUAAGUCAAGAUUUAACCAUUAAAAAUCUUGAGUUCAAAUUCGUUGGAUUCCCUACUUUUUUUACUUUAUAUGUAAUUAUUUUUCAUUAUAUUUGUUAUAUAUAUUGCUCAAUUUAGUACCCUUUAAAGUGAUUAUCUUGGGUUGGUUUUGCUAAAAUUCUACUCUAAAAAAUAAUUUAUUUAUUAGGGAUACGAUGAACUUAUGUAUGACACAAAAUAUUUCAAAUUAUUUAUAUUUUCAAUUAUUUUUGGGAAUAUUUUAUGCAAAAGCACCAAAAAUAUCUAAAAAUUAUUUUUAAAAUAUACUUUAUAUAUUUUCAAACAAAUUCCUAAAAAUCUAUUUUUAUUUAAAAAUUUAUGAAAUAUUCUUUUUUAAUUAGAAAAUUGUUUAUAUUUUAAAGAAUAGAAAGAAAUAAUUCUCAAACAUAUCCAAAAUCCUUUAGAAUAAUGAGAUAACAAAAGGGAUAAGUAUCUUUUGUCACGUUGGUAUGAAAAUAACCACAAAAUAAAAAAUCUCUAAAAACAAUUCAAAUUUUAGAUAUCUACUAAUCAAAGACAAUACUUAUAUUAUUAGAAAGUAAUACUAAUUAUUUUUAAGAAAUUUGAAUUUUAUAAACUGGGUUGUAUUUUUUUUAUUUUAUGACAGCAUGGAAACUCAUUUUCACUAUAUAUAUAUAUAUAUUCCAUCAUUGCUGCUUAUUUUAUUGAUGAUUGGUGAUGUAUGGGGGGAGUCAUAAUCAACUUUAUGUUAGCUGGCACACAGCAUGUGACUCGGGUACCUGAUAAUUAAAUGAGAGGACAUUAUACAAAGCAUAAAAUUUCUUAAUUCUAUUUUUGAUUUCCGAAAAAUUUAAAGACAAAAAGAAAAUUAAAACUAAUAAAUUAUUUCUAUUUUUUAUUUAAAUUUAUUUUAUUUUUAUUUAAAAAUUAAAAAUUAAAUAAUUUUAAAAUAUAUAAUUUUUAAUUGAUCUUAAUUAUAUUUAAUUUUUUUUAUUACAUAAAGGAAUUUUUUCUUUCAUGUACAAUAAUUUGAAGCUAGUGCUCUUCUUUCAACCCAUAAUUGGGAUUGGACUCCAAUUAGUGUAUGCCCCACCAUUCCUACACUCCAUCCUCAUCUUGACCACUUUCAUAAAAGUCCUAUGGCUAAGCUCCACUUUUUGAAAAGGAAGAGCCUCUUACGGAAAAAAGUUGUGUGAAAAGGAUCUUUUACGUUGAAAACAUGCUUUAGUGGUGAUGAAAGGCACAAAAAUGCAGGAUUCCUGGGAAAGAUAUAAAAUUUAUGUAAAAAUAUUUGUUGGGUAAUAGUUGAUUUUUCUCUAGCUAGCUUGUGAUACAAAAAAGAAAAUGGAAAUAAAAAUUUCCAAAAAAAAAAAAAAAAUGAAGUGAGAAAAUGAGAAAAAAAAAAGAAAAAAAAUUCAUUUUUCUACUAGAUAAUAAGAUAAAAUAUUGUUAAAGAAUCCCAAUGGUCACCGGUUCAAGUCCCCUCAGGGUCACUGAAAGUUUACCCGGUUGUUAAUUUCAGGGCCUGUGAGAUUAGUCGAGGUGCGCAUAAGUUGGCUUGGACAUCCAUGGUUAUAUAAAAAAAAAAAUAACAUUGUUAAAGAGGAUUAAUUUUGAGACGGUACUUAAAAAAAAAUGGUAAUAAUACCUUGCAAAGAAAUCAAAUAAAGCUAAUAAUGGAAUGAAAUUCUAGAGAGAUGAAUGAAAUUCUAAAGAUGAAGAUUAUAUUUGGUUGUAAGGAAAAUAUAAAAAAAGAAAAAUAAAGAGAAAAAUUAAAAGAAAAAAAUAAAUAAAUUAUUUUAAAUUUAUUUUACUUAUUUUAAUUUUUUUAUAUAAAGAUUGAAUAAUUUUAAAAUAUAGAAAUUUUUAACUAGUUUUAAUAAUAUUAUAUAUUUUUUAAAUAUAUUUUUAUAACAAAAUCAAAUAGGAGAAAAUAAUUAAAAUUUUUUUUUUCUUUAAUGGAUACUUUUUUGGGAAUCAAAUAUAGCGGAAGUUUAAUGUGAUGAUUGAUACUUUCUCCCUUUGUUUAUAAUGUUUGAACUUCGUCCACAACUUUAAUAAAAUUCUUUUUCAAAAGCAGCUAUCAUGAAAAAGAUAGAAUUCUUGAAAGAGGUGUAAAGUAGAUGUUGAUGUGAAAGUGUCUUUUAGUCGAGCAGCCUUUGCUACUUGGUUGACAUGUAGUGUCGCCAUUUGAUUCAAUGGGGCAUCGCUUUUUAUUCCAGCAUUUGGUUUUUUUAGACUAUAAAUUAUUAGAAUGUCUAGGAAGGUGUAACGUAAGAUUAAAAGAGAAAGAGGGUUGGAGGACUCAAGUAUGUAUCAUGUAUGUAUAAAUGUCCAAGCACCACAAAGCGCAUAGCUGACCCUACAAUGGCAAGACCAAAAAACUCUCGUCUGUGGUUUCUCCUUCUCAGUCUCAUCUGCAGUCUGCUCAAUACGCACAGCACUGCAGCAGCUUCGGAGGAUGAUGGUCGAAAGGCAAUAAACACCCACCUCUCUCUUGUUUGUUCUUAAUGGCUUGGUCAAUAUUCCAUGAAAAUUAAGAUAAAUCUUGUUGAAAAUCAUGGUUGAGCCGUGUUAAUAAACUGGAUUUGCACCAAACAUAUUGUGGAUGCAGGAGUAUAUUGUGUACAUGGGUGCCAAGCCUGCCGGAGAUUUCUCGGCAUCUGCCAGUCACACCAACAUGCUGCAGCAAGUCUUUGGCAGGUCAGUAUUUCUUUCUUAAUUAUUUAUUGUGGAUUUUCACCCUUUUUUUUCCCCCCAAAACUCUACUAGAUCGGUGAUACACCCUUUUUUUUUUUUCCCAAAAGGAGGAAAGGAAUGGAACGAAGGGGGAUUUGAACCCCCAAAACCUCAUGUUUACGAUAUGUUGAAUAAUUGUACAUAUUAUAUAUAUAUAUAGUAUAAAUAAAUUAAUUUUGGUUAUUGUAACUUCUAUAUAAUAAUUACAUAUAAAAUAAAUAUUAAUUUUUGAAUAAAAUGAUCAAAAUUUUAAAAUAAAAUAUACUUAUAUAAAUUAUCAUUAUCAAGUUAUUAAAUAUAUCCAAAUUAAAUGAAUAUACAUAAAAUAUGUUUUCAAGUUAUAAAUAUUAUUAUUAAAUAUCAUAUAUCAUCGUUUACUUUAUAUCAUUUAAUAUAAUUGAAUUAAAUAGAUCAUAAUUUUGAUAUUAAAUAUAUUUUUAAAUUAGACAUAUUAUACUUGAAUAUGAUAAUGUUAUUAUAAAAUAAUAUUUAAUAUAAUUUAAUAAUAAAUGUACAUUUAUAAAAUUCAUAUUUUUUUAUCAAUGUAUAUGAUAUUAUUAUCAAAUAUAAUAAAUUAUAUUAUGCAUAUAUCAAAAUUUUCAAUAAAAUAAUUUUAAAAUGUCUAUUAUAUUUUUAAUUACAUUUCUAUAAUAUUUUCCUUACAUUUUUUUAUGAAUUUUGAUUACUUUUAUUAAUUUUAGAUUUAUCGAUAUUUUUUUCAAAAUAUCCACGAUAUAUCCCAAUAUAUCCGAUAUAUUCUAGAUGUAUUCGAUAUAUCCGUAAAAUCAAAAUACUGAUAUGUCACUAAUUACCGAUAUUAUAAUCUUGGUGGUACCUAACUUUCCACAUGAAUGCUUUCGCAGCAGUAGGGCAUCAACUUCUCUGGUCCGCAGUUACAAAAAGAGUUUCAAUGGAUUUGUAGCGAAGCUAACAGAGGAGGAAAUGCAACAAAUGAAGGGUGGGUAGGUGGGUUUGAUUCUUUCUGCAAUUGAAGUAACUCAGCGUGUUAUGGCUACAAAAUGAACUGUAACUUUGGAGUUUCAGGAAUGGAUGGGGUGGUCUCGAUUUUCCCUAACGAAAAGAAACAGCUCCAUACAACUAGGUCCUGGGAUUUCGUGGGGUUUCCCCAACAAGUUAAAAGAACGAGUUUUGAAAGCGACAUUAUCAUAGGAAUGUUAGACACUGGAAUAUGGCCGGAGUCUGACAGCUUCGAUGAUGAAGGAUUUGGUCCACCGCCAAGGAAAUGGAAGGGCACUUGCCAUGGGUUUUCCAAUUUCACUUGCAACAA
Molecule: long non-coding RNA, 28836 nt
Filed under: Vitis vinifera (wine grape)
Lineage: Eukaryota; Viridiplantae; Streptophyta; Magnoliopsida; Vitales; Vitaceae
Description: long non-coding RNA (VVIN_LNC004046)
Source: RNAcentral